AAUUGAUUGCAUUCUAACUCACUGAGUGUGGCAAUUUAUUUCUGCGAAAUGAGUUUGUCUUAUCAUUCAAUUUGGUUUAUUCGAAUUUUCUCGUUAAAGGAUCUUAUUUUAAAAUCUUUUCAAGGUUUCGACAUUAAGACAUUAAGCAAUCAAUUCAGGUACCAAUUUUGGGCGUUAUGAGGGUGUUAACACUUCCUCAUACGUAACCGACUCCCG
RNAcentral lists this long non-coding RNA (216 nucleotides) under Gossypium barbadense (sea-island cotton). RNAcentral's name for it is "long non-coding RNA (GBAR_LNC014248)". Lineage: Eukaryota; Viridiplantae; Streptophyta; Magnoliopsida; Malvales; Malvaceae. The record is from RNAcentral.